CAGCAGCCGCGGUAGUACGUAGGUGGCAAGCGUUGUCCGGAAUUAUUGGGCGUAAAGGGCUCGCAGGCGGUUUCUUAAGUCUGAUGUGAAAGCCCCCGGCUCAACCGGGGAGGGUCAAUGGAAACUGGGAAACUUGAGUGCAGAAGAGGAGAGUGGAAUUCCACGUGUAGCGGUGAAAUGUGUAGAGAUGUGGAGGAACACCAGUGGCGAAGGCGACUCUCUGGUCUGUAACUGACGCUGAGGAGCGAAAGCGUGGGGAGCGAACAGGAUUAGAUACCCGUGUAGUCCCUGUCUCUUAUAA
This 301-nucleotide ribosomal RNA is filed under the name uncultured bacterium. Its description in RNAcentral is "partial 16S ribosomal RNA". It matches the Rfam family "Bacterial small subunit ribosomal RNA", at positions 509 to 809 of the family's 1533-position model. The record is from RNAcentral.